This 956-nucleotide long non-coding RNA is filed under the name Vitis vinifera (wine grape). RNAcentral describes it as "long non-coding RNA (VVIN_LNC003421)". Lineage: Eukaryota; Viridiplantae; Streptophyta; Magnoliopsida; Vitales; Vitaceae. The record is from RNAcentral.
GUUGCCAAAUCAACCCUGUGAUUCGGUUCGCCUACCUGAUCCUUCUCCUUCCCUCUCCUGCAACAACCUCCCGGCCUCCUCAUCAGCCUGGGCCGCCUUCUUCUGUGCCUCCUUUGCUUUCAAUGCCUGCAAUUUGGAAUGAUUAUAGUAGGCAACCCCUAGGAAUGCAAGCCCGUAGCCGACCAAGUUCACCGGCGUCACUGUGUCCUUGAUUACGGACCACGAAAAUGCAAUCAACAGCCAAUCCUUUACAACCCCAGCAACGUUCAUGGUCAAAGCCGAGGUCUUUCCUACCAGCAAAAACACCGCCAAGUUCAAGGCGAAAGCACAAAGCGAAUUGGUCCCGAAAAUCACAAAAUCUAAAUGAAAACUCGAAUUCUGCUUCAAAACGGGGAAUUCCACAAUGAUCCAAGGAAUAAACAGAAAUCCCAAGCAGCAAGGAGCCACGUAGUAAAGCGAAGUGAUCGGAUUUAGGGUGAUGCCCUUGGAAGUCAACAAGAUCUGGAUCAAGACCAAGCGUGUGGCCUCGAAGGCGACGGCACCCAGCUGCAGAAUCACGCCCCAAGAAUCGAAUCGCGCCUCGCCGUAAGCCGCGAUGGCCACUCCGACCGAGAUCGAGACCAUGUUCACCAUCGUAUCAGUCUUGAAACUGUCCUUCUUGAAGAGAACACCGAUGGAGUAGACCGCAACAGGCAUCAGAGCCUUGAGCAUCUGAAUGAAGGAAACCGAGAGAUAAAUAUACGCCGAGUUCGAGAACCACAGCGAGAGCGAGUACAGAGCUCCGAUUGGAACCACAGACGAGAUGUAAAGCUCACGCGACAUCGCAACGGGCUCCACCAGCUUGAGCACUCGCACUAGAAGGUAGGCAAUAGAGGAACAAAACGCCAUAUGGAUCAUAGUAAGCGAGAUCGGAAAGGGCCAGUUGUACAUCUUACGAUCGAGUAUGUACUUGUUGU